AUUGAACGCUGGCGGCAGGCCUAACACAUGCAAGUCGAACGAGUGGCGGACGGGUGAGUAAUGUCUGGGAAACUGCCUGGGGGAGGGGGUUAACUACUGGAAACGGUAGCUAAUUCCGCAUAGCAGAGGAUGUGCCCAGAUGGGAUUAGCUAGUAGGUGGGGUAAAGGCUGACCUAGGCCACGAACCCGAGCUGGUCUGAGAGGAUGACCAGCCACACUGGAACUGAGACACGGUCCAGACUCCGACGGGAGGCAGCAGUGGGGAAUAUUGCACAAUGGGCGCAAGCCUGAUGCAGCCAUGCCGCGUGUAUGAAGAAGGCCUUCGGGUUGUAAAGUACUUUAAGUUGGGAGGCGUUACCAACAGAAUAAGCACCGGCUAACUUCGUGCCAGCCGCCGCGGUAAUUC
This 406-nucleotide ribosomal RNA is filed under the name uncultured bacterium. RNAcentral describes it as "partial 16S ribosomal RNA". It matches the Rfam family "Bacterial small subunit ribosomal RNA", at positions 30 to 526 of the family's 1533-position model. The record is from RNAcentral.